CACCUGAGGUGUCAACAGAAGCAUUUAGUGUCAUAGCCUACACAACCCAGUAACCUGUUGCACCUUCGAUUCUCCCAAAAAUAAUCAAUUACACCUGGACUGCGAAAUAAUAAAUUGAAAUGAAUGGUUAAAGUUAUCUUUUUAGAACAUUUUUAGAGUAGCCUAUUUAUUUUUAAAAAAAUGCAUUAGGCUAUUACCCACCUUUGCAAUCCCAUAUUAUAAUCUAUUUCUGGUAUUGGGUUUUAAAAUAGGCAAUUGGUUAACAAUUAUUGUUGCCUAAAUACGAAGGCAACUGUAAUGUUUUCUGUAUCUAGGAAAAAAAAGAAAAAAAAGAUCAAUUUACAUCUGUAUCGACACAUUUGGUACAUUUUUAAAUGAGAAAGUUAAAGUGUUGUUGAACAUUCAGACGUACCGUAGAUUAGAAUAGAUUGCUGUGGAAUCCGCGUGCGUCCUGACGUGCACCGGUGUCAUAGCAACGGAAAGCCUUCAGCCUGCAGGACACCUGGAGGAGGCCUCUACCUGCACACGCUGUGCCUCUGUUGACUGCUGAAGUGAGUAGCAGACCUUUUACACUUUUUUUUUAUUUUACAAUGAUAAAAACGGUUCUGACUUAAAACCGAGGGCGCUUUCGUUCACCUCUGGCCGUUUCUCCCCCAUGAACGUCUGACCCACAAAUAAUUUGAACCAAGGUAAGAAACCAUAACUUUGCUAUGGUUACACGGGCUAAUACUAAAUUAAAAUAUACAAUUAAUGUCAAUUUGAUUCGAUUUAUAGGCUACUGCUCUUGCACAGAGUAUAGGCUACAUUAAGUGAUAUGAUGUGUUUAGCUAAGUCUAGAUUAAGGUUUAUUGGGGCUAUGACUGUAGCUCUGUAUAAUAAUGAUUAUCAAAUAUUUUCUUCUUGUUUUAGGGAUGAGCCCAACAAAGAAAAGAACAGCCAGUGGUGUGAUCACCUUCCACAGACCUUUUCCUGUUAGCCUGUUGGAAUCAGAGGUGUGCAUAGCAGAUCUGAAGGAUGAUGCAGAGGGCAAAAGGAGCCUGUAUCAGCCGAGGAGCACCGUUAAUGGUGUCAAAGCAAAGCGAAGAGUUGAGGCCUCACUCCCUGAGCCACAGCAGGGCACAAGCCAACACUUUCUCUCUGACUCCUCCCUCAGACGACUGCAGGAAAAGAUGGAGGCUGAAAAGCAAAAAGCCAAUAGAAUAAUCCAACCUUUACUGGAGACUGAAAAUGGUUUGGUGAAGGAGUUGGAGAGGUUUUUCAGCAAGCGGGAUGUCACAGAGCUGAGGAGAAGGGAGCUGCUGCACAAACACUGGACAGAGCGUGUGUGGUUUCCACUCCAGUGUAGAGUUGAGGAACGUGUGUCCAGCUGUGGCCGAUGGAAGCCAAGCGACGUCAGAGCUUAUACAGUCACUACCUCCAUCACUGCAAUGCUAAGGGUUUUGUGUUUCUAGAAACUUACAAUCUGAAGGAAUACAAUCCUUUUCUUCUCAACAUCGAAAAGCCAUGCUGCUUCAAGGUCAACAGAGCUGACUUUAAGGACCUGUUCAACCCCCAUUCGCAUAAAAGGCUGAAGGAACAGAGAACAGCCGGCUCUUGUGAAGCAGGAUGCAAACGCAAACUUCCUUGUCCUCUCAGUGAUUCUGUGGCAUCUCAGGCCAACACAAGUCUACAGGCCUCAUCUAGUUAUCCAAUCUCUGCUUCAAGAAAAGCUCCAGAUGAGGCUCAAAGAAAGAAAUCCACUGGGCUGCACAACAUACCAUAUCACAUCAGGGCGUCUGCCACACCAGACGGAAGGUGCCAUCGACCAGACUGCUGGUUUUCCAGAUGUGGAAGUCAGGAACAAUCAGCCAGUUUACAGCAACCUCAGCUUACAUAUGAAUAAAAUCCCUCAUGAAUACUACUUCUUAACUACCUCACAGAUUCUAAAGGUGCUGUAUUUGAAAGUGUUGUCCUGGUGGAUUAUAAAGAACCAGGAUGGGAUGACAAAAAGAACAUUGAGCCACAACAAACAAAAAAGGAAUAUUCUAUGUGUGCAUUUUUAUUUAUGCCACAUUCAGGAGUUUAUGGCCUUACUUAACAUAAACCUCCAUAGCUCAGUUAACAAUGAGGUUAAUCUUUGACAUUAUACAGUAGUGUGCAACAUUUGAAUAGAAAAGGAUAACAAGCAUAUGUGUGUAAUGGUCCAGGUGAAAGAACAACAGUUAAAGUACAGUGAAAUAUUUCCUGUUAAUAUUUACUGUGUUUUGCAUAAAAGGUUCAGAAUAUGAAUAUUACAAAACUUUAUCGUUUGGUGAUCUAAAUGGGACAUCUUCAUGGCAUGUUUUUUAAUUGCACUUCUGUGUUUCACAUGAAAAUAUUUGCAAAUACAAAAAAAAAAUCAUGUAAGAUAAUUUGUUAGUAAACAGGAAAACGCUUUUUCCACAAUAAGGAAUGUCUCAGGACAAUUCAUUGGAAUGUAAUCCAACAGUUUUGGCAAGGUCUCCUUAUCCUGUAACUUGAAGUCAACAAGAUAAAUCUCGCCAGCUCAGGGCAGUACAAGGCUGUAAUCGUCAUGAGAUCACUUUAAGUUUUUAUGUGACUGUUUCAACUAAAUGUUUCCUCUUCAUUACUAUAAAAAGAAGUGAUGUCUGCUGA
This is a non-coding RNA of Labrus bergylta (ballan wrasse), 2634 nucleotides long. The record is from RefSeq and is a predicted model, not a curated record. NCBI's taxonomy places the organism in Eukaryota, Metazoa, Chordata, Actinopteri, Labriformes, Labridae.